RNAcentral lists this ribosomal RNA (460 nucleotides) under uncultured bacterium. RNAcentral describes it as "partial 16S ribosomal RNA". It matches the Rfam family "Bacterial small subunit ribosomal RNA", at positions 338 to 795 of the family's 1533-position model. The record is from RNAcentral.
CCUACGGGAUGCCGCAGUGAGGAAUAUUGGUCAAUGGCCGUAAGGCUGAACCAGCCAAGUAGCGUGAGGGAAGACUGCCCUAUGGGUUGUAAACCUCUUUUAUGCGGGGAUAAAGGUGUCCACGUGUGGAUGUUUGCAGGUACCGCAUGAAUAAGCACCGGCUAAUUCCGUGCCAGCAGCCGCGGUAAUCCGGAAGGUGCGGGCGUUAUCCGGAUUUAUUGGGUUUAAAGGGUGCGUUGGCCGGUCUUUAAGUGUGUCGUGAAAUUUUGUGGCUUAACCAUGAGAGUGCGGCGAGAACUGGAGACCUUGAGUGGGCGGAAGGCAGGCGGAAUACGUGGUGUAGCGGUGAAAUGCUUAGAUAUCACGAAGAACCCCGAUUGCGAAGGCAGCCUGCCGCAGCGUUACUGACGCUGAAGCUCGAAAGCGCGGGUAUCGAACAGGAUUAGAUACCCGAGUAGUC